RNAcentral lists this ribosomal RNA (466 nucleotides) under uncultured bacterium. RNAcentral describes it as "partial 16S ribosomal RNA". It matches the Rfam family "Bacterial small subunit ribosomal RNA", at positions 28 to 507 of the family's 1533-position model. The record is from RNAcentral.
GAUGAACGCUGGCGGCGUGCUUAACACAUGCAAGUCGAACGAUGAAGCCCAGCUUGCUGGGUGGAUUAGUGGCGAACGGGUGAGUAACACGUGAGUAACCUGCCCUUAACUCUGUGAUAAGCCUUGGAAACUGGGUCUAAUACCGGAUAGGAGCGUCCACCGCAUGGUGGGUGUUGGAAAGAUUUAUCGGUUUUGGAUGGACUCGCGGCCUAUCAGCUUGUUGGUGAGGUAAUGGCUCACCAAGGCGACGACGGGUAGCCGGCCUGAGAGGGUGACCGGCCACACUGGGACUGAGACACGGCCCAGACUCCUACGGGAGGCAGCAGUGGGGAAUAUUGCACAAUGGGCGCAAGCCUGAUGCAGCGACGCCGCGUGAGGGAUGACGGCCUUCGGGUUGUAAACCUCUUUCAGUAGGGAAGAAGCGAAAGUGACGGUACCUGCAGAAGAAGCACCGGCUAACUACGUG